AGAUUGAACGCUGGCGGCAUGCCUAACACAUGCAAGUCGAACGGGAGUAGCAAUACUCUAGUGGCGGACGGGUGAGGAAUACGUAGGAAUUUGCCCUUAAGUGGGGGAUAACCCGGGGAAACCCGGAUUAAUACCGCAUGACCUCGAAAGAGCAAAGUGGGGGAUCGCAAGACCUCACGCUUUUGGAGAAGCCUACGUCGGAUUAGCUAGUUGGUGAGGUAAUGGCUCACCAAGGCGACGAUCCGUAACUGGUCUGAGAGGAUGAUCAGUCACCCCGGAACUGAGACACGGUCCGACUCCGUACGGGACGCAAGCAGGUGGGGAAUAGUUGGACAAGUGGGCGCAAGCCUGACUCCAGCAAUGCCGCGGUAGUGUAGAAGUAACGGUCCGUUACGGGUUAGUAAA
This 405-nucleotide ribosomal RNA is filed under the name uncultured soil bacterium. RNAcentral's name for it is "bacterial SSU rRNA". It matches the Rfam family "Bacterial small subunit ribosomal RNA", at positions 26 to 435 of the family's 1533-position model. The record is from RNAcentral.